UUCGCCCUUAGAGUUUGAUCCUGGCUCAGGACGAACGCUGGCGGCGCGCCUAACACAUGCAAGUCGAACGGAGCUGAGAGAAGCUUGCUUUUCUUAGCUUAGUGGCGAACGGGUGAGUAACGCGUGAGUAACCUGCCCUGGAGUGGGGGACAACAGUUGGAAACGACUGCUAAUACCGCAUAAGCCCACGAUCCGGCAUCGGAUUGAGGGAAAAGGAUUUAUUCGCUUCAGGAUGGACUCGCGUCCAAUUAGCUAGUUGGUGAGGUAACGGCCCACCAAGGCGACGAUUGGUAGCCGGACUCAGAGGUUGAACGGCCACAUUGGGACUGAGACACGGCCCAGACUCCUACGGGAGGCAGCAGUGGGGGAUAUUGCACAAUGGGGGAAACCCUGAUGCAGCGACGCCGCGUGGAGGAAGAAGGUUUUCGGAUUGUAAACUCCUGUCGUUAGGGACGAUAAUGACGGUACCUAACAAGAAAGCACCGGCUAACUACGUGCCAGCAGCCGCGGUAAAACGUAGGUGGCAAGCGUCGUCCGGAAUUACUGGGUGUAAAGGGAGCGUAGGCGGGCAGGCAAGUCAGGCGUGAAAUAUAUCGGCUCAACCGGUAACGGCGCUUGAAACUGCAGGUCUUGAGUGAAGUAGAGGUUGGCGGAAUUCCUAGUGUAGCGGUGAAAUGCGUAGGUAUUAGGAGGAACACCAGUGGCGAAGGCGGCCAACUGGGCUUUUACUGACGCUGAGGCUCGAAAGUGUGGGGAGCAAACAGGAUUAGAUACCCUGGUAGUCCACACCGUAAACGAUGAUUACUAGGUGUGGGGGGACUGACCCCUUCCGUGCCGGAGUUAACACAAUAAGUAAUCCACCUGGGGAGUACGGCCGCAAGGUUGAAACUCAAAGGAAUUGACGGGGGCCCGCACAAGCAGUGGAGUAUGUGGUUUAAUUCGACGCAACGCGAAGAACCUUACCAGGUCUUGACAUCGUAUGCAUAGUGUAGAGAUACACGAAGUCCUUCGGGACAUACAGACAGGUGGUGCAUGGUUGUCGUCAGCUCGUGUCGUGAGAUGUUGGGUUAAGUCCCGCAACGAGCGCAACCCUUGUAUUUAGUUGCUACGCAAGAGCACUCUAGAUAGACUGCCGUGGACAACACGGAGGAAGGUGGGGAUGACGUCAAAUCAUCAUGCCCCUUAUGACCUGGGCUACACACGUACUACAAUGGCGAUGGAACAGAGGGAAGCGACUCAGCGAUGAGAAGCAGAUCCCGAAAAAUUGUCUCAGUUCGGAUUGCAGGCUGCAACCCGCCUGCAUGAAGUCGGAAUUGCUAGUAAUCGCGGAUCAGCAUGCCGCGGUGAAUACGUAACCGGGCCUUGCACUCACCGCCCGUCA
This 1381-nucleotide ribosomal RNA is filed under the name uncultured bacterium. Its description in RNAcentral is "16S ribosomal RNA". It matches the Rfam family "Bacterial small subunit ribosomal RNA". The record is from RNAcentral.